RNAcentral lists this transfer RNA (63 nucleotides) under Chinapotamon maolanense. RNAcentral's name for it is "tRNA-His". Lineage: Eukaryota; Metazoa; Arthropoda; Malacostraca; Decapoda; Potamidae. The record is from RNAcentral.
AUUCAGAUAGUUUAAGUAAAAUAUUGAUUUGUGGUGUCAAAGAAAUAGUAAUUAUUCUGGGUU